This 385-nucleotide ribosomal RNA is filed under the name uncultured bacterium. RNAcentral describes it as "bacterial SSU rRNA". It matches the Rfam family "Bacterial small subunit ribosomal RNA", at positions 32 to 402 of the family's 1533-position model. The record is from RNAcentral.
AAUCAACGCUGGCGGCGUGCCUAACACAUGCAAGUCGAACGCGAAAGUCCCGCAAGGGAUCAGUAGAGUGGCAAACGGGUGAGUAACACGUGGGUGACCUGCCUUCGAGUGGGGGAUAACGUCCCGAAAGGGACGCUAAUACCGCAUGACAUCCUGCCUUUGAAGAGGUGGAGCUUAAAGCUGGGGAUCGCAAGACCUAGCGCUUGAAGAGGGGCCCNCGCCUGAUUAGCAGUUGGUGAGUAACGGCUCACCAAGGCAACGAUCAGUAUCCGGCCUGAGAGGGCGGACGGACACACUGGGACUGAGACACGGCCCAGACUCCUACGGGAGGCAGCAGUGGGGAAUUGUUCGCAAUGGGCGCAAGCCUGACGACGCAACGCCGCGU